UUUCAAAUUUACAUACAUUUUCCUCCUUUUGCCAAAUUGGUCAAUUAAUUUUAACCAUAUAGAGGCAGGUGGUUGAACGUACAAAUACAAUUCAAAGAACAAAA
Solanum stenotomum is the source of this 104-nucleotide long non-coding RNA. RefSeq lists it as uncharacterized. Lineage: Eukaryota; Viridiplantae; Streptophyta; Magnoliopsida; Solanales; Solanaceae. The transcript has 2 exons. The record is from RefSeq and is a predicted model, not a curated record.